RNAcentral lists this ribosomal RNA (235 nucleotides) under uncultured bacterium. RNAcentral describes it as "partial 16S ribosomal RNA". It matches the Rfam family "Bacterial small subunit ribosomal RNA", at positions 120 to 354 of the family's 1533-position model. The record is from RNAcentral.
AGGAACCUGCCUUGGAGAGGGGAAUAACACAGUGAAAAUUGUGCUAAUACCGCAUGAUGCAGUUGGGUCGCAUGGCUCUGACUGCCAAAGAUUUAUCGCUCUGAGAUGGCCUCGCGUCUGAUUAGCUAGUUGGUGGGGCAACGGCCCACCAAAGCGACGAUCAGUAGCCGGACUGAGAGGUUGACCGGCCACAUUGGGACUGAGACACGGCCCAGACUCCUACGGGAGGCAGCAG